GUAAUUAUUUUCCCGAUCUACAGUAUUGGUUGAGGUUUGAAUGAAUUUCCUUCAUCCUGCAAAUCCUUCUUCAUUCGUCCUGUUCAGUCAUGUAUAAUUUUUUUUUUGUCUGCGCUUCGCAUCUGUACGGGCCUAGCUUGUCUAGCCAAAAUUUCCCUUCUUCUGUCUCACCCCUGCACAACUGGACAAUUCCAUAAAGGUAAAUACCGUUCUCCUAACUACUUCUGCUGCCUUUUUCAAGUGUGCCAAUCCUUCUUCUGUGUUGUUUUUGUGGAAAUACUCUUGGAUCCCUUUGAUGUAGUGUGCCUCCACAUUUCCACUUGCAAUGGUUUUUUGCAUGAGGUCUUGGUAUUUCUUGAGUGCUGCUAGGGGAUUGAUUGCUAGUGGGCUUAGGUUGAUAUGCUUGUAAACUCGGUGAUCUUGUGCUGCUUUGGUUAGAUGUGGUGAUGCUUGCAUAACAUGCCUGACGUCUGUGCGUGACCUCCGUGCAACUCGAGAGAUAAUUUCUCCCAGCACAUCGUAUGGCUGGUGGUGAGUUGGAGAUUCGUUUGAUUGAGAAAUCUAGUUGAGAUGAGAAAAACCUUAUCAUCAAUGAGUAGGAAGUCCACUCCCAUUAGUUAGCCUCCUUUUUUAACGUUUGGGGCAGGCCAGUGACGAAGCAUCCUUCCAACGAUCUGUUGGUGUAGGCGACCGGCUUUCAGAUUUUCGAAUGAAACAGCAGUGGAAUCCAUAUUAGUAAGAAGCAAUUUCAGAGAGAGAAGGAAUGGUAAGAGGAAUGCAAUCGGAGAAAAUGGGUUUAUGGCAUUAUAUAGCAAUUCAAGUAACACCAAUUGAAGGGAAAGUAGUGGGACUUCAAUUGGAAGGAAAAGCAUUGAAAGACUGUAAUAACGGUUUCAGAGGAAAACGAACCGAUAGAGAUGGAAGUCAAGAAUGCUGAAGAGGCGUGGCGUUUGAGGUCGACGAACGGCGGACGAAGGAGAAGCGAUUCCGGGGAAGGGUUUUAUGUCUACAACAUGUUAUAGGAAUAAUAAUAGUUUGGGCCCUAAAAGAAAUUUUAAAAUGGGCUUCCAAAGACUCUAGAAAACUAAACAUACGAAUAUGGGGUUUCUGAAGUACUAUGGGCUUAUUAAACAUAUAGAUAUGCUGAGGUGGCAGCACCAAUAAUGAGUAAAGUGUACUUUAUAUAUAUAGAUUAUCGCACCCAAACGUCACUAUGAACUCGUGAACGUGUUAUU
Molecule: non-coding RNA, 1235 nt
Organism: Camelina sativa (false flax)
Lineage: Eukaryota; Viridiplantae; Streptophyta; Magnoliopsida; Brassicales; Brassicaceae
Source: RefSeq, a predicted model, not a curated record